CUCGACCCCACUCUUGACUGAUAAUGGAUUGCCAUUUGCCCGUCCGGUCCCCCCUUAGCUCACGCCUGUGCCCUCCGCCCAGCGGAAGUGCGGGAGGACCGGACGUGACCCCGAUUCCUCCCAGCUGGAAACUGGCUGCCGCGGGCGUAUUCACGUGGAAAUUGGCAAACACCGCCCAUCAGGGCUUUCACCCCCACGGGGCUGGUUGGUAAAUCUGGAUCAGCACAUCCCUGGUCAUUAGCACUUGACAUUUACUACGUUAGAUAUUGAGACUAAUCAUUAAAAACGUUUUGUUGAUGC
Long non-coding RNA from Leopardus geoffroyi (Geoffroy's cat), 300 nucleotides. RefSeq lists it as uncharacterized. The transcript has 2 exons. The record is from RefSeq and is a predicted model, not a curated record. NCBI's taxonomy places the organism in Eukaryota, Metazoa, Chordata, Mammalia, Carnivora, Felidae.